GACUCUAAUCCAAUUGUGAUUUUCAUUGACUAUAUUGAGGGUGAGGAACAGGUUAGUAAUUAAAGGUGAUUUUACAGACUUCUAGAGAGAAAGAGUAUGUCUAAAAUAGUAAAUUUAGCAUUAUCUUUAAAAAAUCAAUUGUGUGUUCUUUGUAUUUGGUAUCAAAUAUCUGUUUCAUAAACUCAGAAAUACUGAUGUGUAGCACAUGCUGUCACUUUGAUUCAAAUUGAACAAGUAACUUCCCAGGUAUGAAAAGCCAGUUUUCUUUGGGUAAAAAUCAACUUCUUUGUAAACAUUAAAAUGUGGCUGUAUCUUCUGCCCUCAAAGUUUAAUAAAUAAAUAAAAUAUUUAACUCACUCCAAUGGUUUGUGAAGCUGAAAUACCUAAGUGCAGUGUUUGGUCCAUCCUGAGGUUAGGCAGUUUACAAACAGACAGCUUCAGUCCUAAAAUUCAUAUUGUUACGGUUUUAAAACUGAAGCGAUACCUAAUUUUACCUAAUAUUUUACGUGGAGGCCCUUGGUGUACGUAGUGUUCCCGUUAUUUUGGACAUUAAAACAAGAAACACCUCUACCCUGUAAUGUUUCGAUUUGCAUCAGGGACCGAUGUAGUCAGUGCCCACUGCUACAGAUUUUGGCAGACACGCAAAGUAAAUCACGUGCCCGCUGUAUGCAGUGUGUUGAGCAAUCUUUGGUUUUGGCUGAGGCUUUAGAUGGGUGAUGGGAUAGUUAACUAAGAAACGUUCAACAGAAUCUACUAACAUGUUAUAGGAUGAGUUUUAUAGACCGUGUGUACCCUGUCCCACGGGGUCAUGGACAAGUAGUAUUUGAAGCUAUUCCUUCAGCAUAUUGGGCUUCAGGUGUAUGGGAAGUACUAGACUAGCAAGCCAAUUUAACCUUGUCCUCUCGGGAAGGACUCCCAGUUUAGUGAUUUAACAUGUUUGUUUAAAAGAGCGGAGGAGGGUGUCAGCAAGGGUGUUCACAUCCAGGGGUCGGAACCUGAGUCUGGGGACCCCAGAGCCUCCUGGGGCCUCUGGGAGGCGGCCAGAGAAGGGAGGCUGAGGUCUCUGCCCCUCCUCCCAGCUCCUCACGCCCCUACAGCACAUGAGACUCCCGCCCGCAGCCUCUGGAAGGAUCCAGGGCUGAUCUUGGAGCCCAGGCCCAGGAAAGAAUUCUGAUUCACUGCCUUGGAAUCAGCUGAGGAAUAGACCUGAAUCUGCAGAGCAGAGUGGGGGUGAAUGGAGUGAAAUUCUGCUGAAUUCACAGCUCGAGCCCCUGGCUGAAUGGGGUGUGUUGAUUCCACCCACCAGCAUUGCUUGUCCCUCUUCUCUGCCACGUUGGAAGAUAAAUCGAAGCCACCUGUGGAAGGAGAACGCAUAUGAAGAUGAGGUAUCAUCAUUCCCUCAUUCUGAGCACCCUUCUGCCAAGUACAUAGAAGAAAAUUAUUAAUCACCCCUUACCUGGACAGUAUAAGUAUCGCGUCUGCAGCUGUGAUCUGCCGAUGAUUAAAAAGCACUCAUUCCACCGACGGUGCCGCCCGAUCAUCGCAGAUCUUUGAGGAGCAUCACUCACAGGCACUGCUCCUUGACAUCCUUCACAACCCAGCCGAGGUGCCCAGAAGGUCUUUAAUGUACUCAGUAAAGUUUACUCC
Artibeus jamaicensis (Jamaican fruit-eating bat) is the source of this 1647-nucleotide long non-coding RNA. RefSeq lists it as uncharacterized. The transcript has 3 exons. NCBI's taxonomy places the organism in Eukaryota, Metazoa, Chordata, Mammalia, Chiroptera, Phyllostomidae. The record is from RefSeq and is a predicted model, not a curated record.